CCUACGGGAGGCAGCAGUGGGGAAUAUUGGUCAAUGGGCGCAAGCCUGACCCAGCAACGCCGCGUGAAGGAAGAAGGCUUUCGGAUUGUAAACCUCUUUUCUUAGGGACGAAAAAAGUGACGGUACCUCAGGAAUAAGCCUCGGCUAACUACGUGCCAGCAGCCGCGGUAAUACGUAGGUGGCAAGCGUUAUCCGGAUUUAUUGGGUGUAAAGGGCGUGUAGGCGGGAAAGCAAGUCAGAUGUGAAAACUCGGGGCUCAACCCUUGGCCUGCAUUUGAAACUGUUUUUCUUGAGUGCUGGAGAGGCAAGCGGAAUUCCGGGUGUAGCGGUGAAAUGCGUAGAUAUCAGGAGGAACACCAGUGGCGAAGGCGGAUUGCUGGACAGUAACUGACGUUGAGGCGCGAAAGCGUGGGGAGCAAACAGGAUUAGAUACCCGGGUAGUC
Molecule: ribosomal RNA, 443 nt
Filed under: uncultured bacterium
Lineage: Bacteria
Description: partial 16S ribosomal RNA
Rfam family: Bacterial small subunit ribosomal RNA
Source: RNAcentral